AAAUUGAAGAGUUUGAUCAUGGCUCAGAUUGAACGCUGGCGGCAGGCCUAACACAUGCAAGUCGAGCGGUAGCACAGAGAGCUUGCUCUCGGGUGACGAGCGGCGGACGGGUGAGUAAUGUCUGGGAAACUGCCUGAUGGAGGGGGAUAACUACUGGAAACGGUAGCUAAUACCGCAUAACGUCGCAAGACCAAAGUGGGGGACCUUCGGGCCUCAUGCCAUCAGAUGUGCCCAGAUGGG
This 240-nucleotide ribosomal RNA is filed under the name Klebsiella pneumoniae. RNAcentral describes it as "partial 16S ribosomal RNA". It matches the Rfam family "Bacterial small subunit ribosomal RNA", at positions 1 to 239 of the family's 1533-position model. RNAcentral also lists the same sequence under 5 other names. The record is from RNAcentral. Lineage: Bacteria; Pseudomonadati; Pseudomonadota; Gammaproteobacteria; Enterobacterales; Enterobacteriaceae.